This 3787-nucleotide unclassified non-coding RNA is filed under the name Hevea brasiliensis (rubber tree). The record is from RNAcentral. Lineage: Eukaryota; Viridiplantae; Streptophyta; Magnoliopsida; Malpighiales; Euphorbiaceae.
AAAAAAAAAAAAAAAAAAUGGCGACAGGAUAUGCAAACAAUAUCCAGCCUCCACAAAGGGAAAUUUAUCAAUGGAUGUCCCACUAUUGCUCUUUAAAAUAUGUAUUUAACAUAUUGCAAAGGCUUCAGAAGGGAUACUUUAUUGGUUCCGGUUGCAUGGCUUUUUGGAUAAGUUCAGUCUGCUCCUUCACAUGCACCUGGUAGAAACCAGUGGCUGUUGCAGCAGAGGGAGCACGCCCAACAUACUUGAUGUCCUCUAUAGAUCCUCUUCCUAGUGCUUUCAUAGCAGUGCAAAGGCGAGGUGAAAUGUAAUUGUAUGCACCCAUGUUCAUUGGCUCUUCCUGGCACCAAACAAUCUCGGCAUUUGGAUAUCGCUUGAGCUCACGCUGGAUGAGAUCAUAUGGGAAUGGACACAGCUGCUCCACCCUACAAAUUGCAAUGUCCUGAGCACCAUUCUUUUUGCGCUCUUCAUCAAGCUCAUAAUAAACCUUUCCAGAGCAAAGAACCAGUCGUCUGAUACCCUCUUCAAGAUCAGAGCGGUCAUUCUGAUCCUUUAUGAGACGCUUAAAUCUGGUUCCUUGUUUGUCAAAGCCAGGGUGGCCUUUGACAUCAUCAAACUCAGACAGAUUUGAUUUGCAGUCCUUGUGACGAAGUAGGUUUUUUGGAGCCAUCACAAUGAGGGGCUUACGGAAUUCCCUGUGUAGCUGACGCCGCAAGACAUGGAAGUAAUUAGCAGGAGUUGUAACAUUUACAACCUGCCAGUUACAUUCCUGGAUUUGCUUCCGAAGAGUUGGGUCCAUUUCAGGAAUGACAUAAGGAUUGUCAUCACUCAUCUGAAGGAAGCGUUCCAACCGUGCACUUGAAUGUUCAGGACCCUGACCAUCAUAUCCAUGAGGAAGAAGCAAAACAAGCCCAAUUUGACGCAACCACUUUGAUUCACCGCUACUCAGGAACUGAUCAAAUAUCACUUGAGCCCCAUUAGCAAAGUCACCAAAUUGAGCUUCCCAGAUUACCAAUGAAUUCGGACUUUCCAUUGAGUAACCCAGUUCAAAUCCAAGAACGCCAAACUCUGAAAGAGAACUGUUGCUGACAGUAAACAAUUCCUCAUUUUGGUUCAUGACAACAUGGUCCAGAGGGCAAUACUUCUCCCCGGUUUCUUGAUCAUGAACUACUGAAUGCCGGUGACUAAAUGUACCUCGUUCAACAUCCUGGCCACUCAAUCUAACAUGAUUACCUUCUACAACCAAAGUUGCAAAAGCAAGAGCUUCUGCAAGUGCCCAGUCAAUUCCUUCCCCAGUUUCAAUCAUUUGUGCACGUUGUUCAUAAACCUUCUUUACAGCUCUGUGAGGCUUAAAAUUUUCAGGAAAAGUUGUAAUUGCCUUGCCAACAUUCUUCAAGAUCUCAGGUUUCACCCCAGUGUUUCGGAUGCGUGAAAGCUGUUCAGGUGACUUAAACCCAGCCCAAUGAGACGAAAGCCAAUCUCUUCUUUUAGGAACAUAAUCUUUGCUAGCCAAGAAUUCUUCAUUGAGGAUGGAAUUGACCUUCUCUUGUAUCUUUUGAAUAUCUUCUUCAACCACCUGCCCAGAUUCUAAAAGUUUCGUUCGGUAAAUCUCAAGAGAUGAGGGAUGAUUUCGAAUGACCUGAUACAUUUUUGGUUGUGUGAAAGAUGGCUCAUCGAUCUCAUUAUGUCCAAAUCGACGAUAACACACCAAAUCAACCACAACAUCCGAAUGGAAAGUCUGGCGCCACUCAGCUGCAAGUUCACAGGCAUGAACAACUGCCUCCACAUCAUCUCCAUUAACGUGGAAAAUAGGUGCAUUCAAAGCCUUGGCAACAUCAGUACAAUACUGUGAAGAUCUGCCUGCCCUUGGAUCAGUAGUGAAAGCAACUUGGUUAUUCACCACAAUGUGUAUAGUUCCACCAGUAGUGUAGUUUGGCAGUGCACUAAGAUGUAGAGUUUCAUACACUACACCUUGACCAGCAAAGCUACCAUCACCAUGAAUCAAAAUUCCCAUGUUUUUAGUCCUCUGCUCAUCAUUGGAGUAAAAUUGCUUAGCUCUAGUCUUUCCAACAACAACAGGGUCCACAGCUUCCAAGUGACUAGGAUUUGCAACCAAUGACAAAUGGAUUCUCUUCCCACCUCUGGUUGGACGAUCAUAAGAAGUUCCUAAAUGAUAUUUCACAUCACCAGUUCCUGUGUAAAGACCAACUUCAUCGACAGGCUUUGUACCACCACUAAACUCACUAAAUAUUUGUCGGAGUGGCUUUCGAACAACAUUACCAAGAACAUUCAAUCUUCCUCUAUGAGGCAUUCCAAUAACUAUGCUCUCAACACCUAGAUCUGCUGACCUAUCAAACAUCUCCUUCAUACCAGGAAUAAGAGUUUCCCCACCUUCAAGGCCAAACCUCUUAGCCGUUGUCCACUUGGUGGCCAAGAAGUUUUCAAAUUGCGUACUCCAUAUUAGCCUAUCGAGAAUAACUUCACGGCGCUGGCGAUUGUACUGCAUAGGAGUUGGGGUUUCAAUCUUGUCUCUUAACCAGUUACAUUUCUCACGAUCUGCAAUGUGCAUAUACUCAUAGCCAAUGCUCCCACAGUAAGCCUGCUCAAGACGGGUCAAUAUGGACCUAAGGGUCUGCACUGGACGGUUUUCAGACAAAAACCCAGCCAUUCUCCACACUCCUAAAAAGAAUUCUCUAUCAAGGUCAGCUUCUGUGAACCCAUAAAGUGCUGGGUCUAAAUCCUCUGGAAUUUCUCUUUCUUCCAACCCCAAUGGGUCCAACUUGGCUUUCAUAUGGCCAUUAACUUGGUAGGCCCUCACAAACAACAGUAAGCGCAUACUCUCCUGAAUCGUCUGGCCUGAAAUACCAGGGGAUGUGGCAGCCUGACCCACAAAAUUCCUAAAGAAAUUGUCCCAUGACUCAUCCACACUACUUGGGUCAGCUUCCCAAGCUCGUUGUAGCUCCUCCAAAUAAACACUACUGGUUCCAUCUAGGAAGCUAUCAGUUAGCCUGGAAAGAGGCACCGGACGAGGGACAGGUGCAGCUUGUGCCUUGGACUUAAAGACAGUGGUAUGGAAAUAUCGACUCUGAGAAGGAAUGACCCGUGUUCUAGUUGUGUAUGAUCCACUCUGAGAUAAAGUCCUCCGAAUGGCAAGCCUUGCCACACUAGUGCCAGCUCUAAACCACGCCAUAGAGAACAAUGCAAACUACUAAAUACCACAGAUUUCUCAAAGAUUGUACUACCCCGGAUCAAACCUCAAGUACGAACAUAUGUAUUUUCUCUUAUAGAACAAGUCCUGUUAAACAAAAUUUAAAAUAAAUAAAUAGUUAAAAGAGGAAAUACCCAACAAUAGUGCUUAUUCACCUAUCAGCUCCAAGGACAUGGACUCCAAACAUUUUCCAAGUGUGAGCACAUACCCAGAUUCAACUAAAAAUAAACACAUGAUUCAACAUAUAUUAUAUAAACCCAUAUUAAUCUGGAUUUGGAAUCCAGUCAUAAAGUUUCAGAUUGAAGAACACGAUGAAAAAUCCAGCACAUCACGGAUAUAAUGAAAGUAACAAAAAUCGUCUUAACAAUUCACUAAAUAAAUUACAAAUCUGAAAACUUCCAGAACCAAAUAUACUCAAUAAGAAUAAUUCAACUAGAGAAUAAAUAGAGGAACCAGAAACAACAUUUUCUACUCCUGUUUCUCGUUAAUUUCACCUCAAAUGUUCCCAUCCCAGCAACCAAACAUAUUAGAUCACGUAAAAGCAAAUAAUUAACAAAUCAAGAUACGAAAAGAAGAUCA